RNAcentral lists this ribosomal RNA (1232 nucleotides) under Dichanthelium oligosanthes. Its description in RNAcentral is "SSU rRNA". It matches the Rfam family "Eukaryotic small subunit ribosomal RNA", at positions 4 to 1116 of the family's 1831-position model. The record is from RNAcentral. Lineage: Eukaryota; Viridiplantae; Streptophyta; Magnoliopsida; Poales; Poaceae.
CCUGGUUGAUUCUGCCAGUAGUCAUAUGCUUGUCUCAAAGAUUAAGCCAUGCAUGUGCAAGUAUGAACUAAUUCAAACUGUGAAACUGCGAAUGGCUCAUUAAAUCAGGGUUUGAUGGUACGUGCUACUCGGAUAACCAUAGUAAUUCUAGAGCUAAUAUGUCCAACAAACCCUGACUUCUGGUAGGGGUGCAUUUAUUAGAUAAAAUACUGACGUGGGCUCUACUCGCUGAUCCGAUGAUUCGUGAUAACUCGACGGAUCGCACGGCCCUCGUGCCGGCAACGCAUCAUUCAAAUUUAUGCCUAUCAACUUUCGAUGGUAGGAUAGGGGCCUACCAUGGUAGUGGUGGGUGACAGAGAAAUAGGGUUCAAUUUUGGAGAGGGAGCCUGAGAAACGGCUACCACAUCCAAGGAAGGUAGCAGGCAUGCAAAUUACGCAAUCCUGACAUGGGUGGUAGUGACAAUAAAUAACAAUAUCGGGCACGUUAAUGUUUGGUAAUUGGAAUGAAUACAAUCUAAAUCCCUUAACGAGGAUCCACUAGAGGGCAAGUCUGCUGCUAGCAGCUGCGGUAAUUCCAACUCCAAUAGCGUAUAUUUAAGUUGCUGCAGUUAAAAAGCUCGUAGCUGGACCUUGGGCCGGGUCGGCCGGUCCGCCUUUCGGCGAGCACCAACCUACUUGACCCUUCUAUCGGCGAUGCGCUCCUGGCCUUAAUUGGCCGGGUCGUGUGUCCGACGCUGUUACUUUGAAGAAAUUAGAGUGCUCAAAGCAAGCCAUUGCUAUGGAUACAUUAGCAUGGGAUAACAUCAUAGGAUUUUGGUCCUAUUGUGUUGGCCUUCAGGAUCAGAGCAAUGAUUAAUAGAGACAGUCAAGGGCAUUCGUAUUUCAUAGUUAGAGGUGAAAGUCAUGGAUUUAUGAAAGACGAACAACUGUGAAAGCAUUUGCCAAGGAUGUUUUCAUUAAUCAAGAACGAAAGUUGGGGGCUCGAAGACAUUCAGAUAUCAUCCUAGUCUCAACCAUAAAUGAUGCCGACCAAGGAUCAGCAUAAGCUUAUACACUACAAGAAAUGAUUAAUCCACCGUCGGCCAAAAUAAAACCGUCGGCCCCGACGGUUUUAAAAAUUUAUAGGCGUUGGCCUAGGGUAACCGACGGUUAUAUGUUUAAAAACGUCGGGGUUCAGGACGUGGCCGACGGCCAUAAUAAAAAACGUCGGGGUCCCUGUACGACCGACGGCU